AACCCAGUGCAAUUCGUUGCACUAUCGUUAACUGAAUACAUAGGUUAACGAGGCGAACCGGGGGAACUGAAACAUCUAAGUACCCCGAGGAAAAGAAAUCAACCGAGAUUCCCCCAGUAGCGGCGAGCGAACGGGGAGCAGCCCAGAGUCUGAAUCAGCUUGUGUGUUAGUGGAACGGUCUGGAAAGUCCGACGGUACAGGGUGAUAGUCCCGUACACCAAAAUGCACAGGUUGUGAACUCGAAGAGUAGGGCGGGACACGUGGUAUCCUGUCUGAAUAUGGGGGGACCAUCCUCCAAGGCUAAAUACUCCUGACUGACCGAUAGUGAACCAGUACCGUGAGGGAAAGGCGAAAAGAACCCCGGCGAGGGGAGUGAAAAAGAACCUGAAACCGUGUACGUACAAGCAGUGGGAGCACCUUCGGGUGUGACUGCGUACCUUUUGUAUAAUGGGUCAGCGACUUAUAUUCUGUAGCAAGGUUAACCGUAUAGGGGAGCCGCAGGGAAACCGAGUCUUAACUGGGCGUUAAGUUGCAGGGUAUAGACCCGAAACCCGGUGA
Molecule: ribosomal RNA, 558 nt
Filed under: Klebsiella variicola
Lineage: Bacteria; Pseudomonadati; Pseudomonadota; Gammaproteobacteria; Enterobacterales; Enterobacteriaceae
Description: partial 23S ribosomal RNA
Rfam family: Bacterial large subunit ribosomal RNA
Source: RNAcentral